Cyprinus carpio carpio is the source of this 1757-nucleotide long non-coding RNA. Lineage: Eukaryota; Metazoa; Chordata; Actinopteri; Cypriniformes; Cyprinidae. The record is from Ensembl.
UUCCUAUCUCAAAAAAUUAGCAUAUUUCAUCCGACCAAUAAAAGAAAAGUGUUUUUAAUACAAAAAAAGUCAACCUUCAAAUAAUUAUGUUCAGUUAUGCACUCAAUACUUGGUCGGGAAUCCUUUUGCAGGAAUGACUGCUUCAAUGCGGCGUGGCAUGGAGGCAAUCAGCCUGUGGCACUGCUGAGGUGUUAUGGAGGCCCAGGAUGCUUCGAUAGCGGCCUUAAGCUCAUCCAGAGUGUUGGGUCUUGCGUCUCUCAACUUUCUCUUCACAAUAUCCCACAGAUUCUCUAUGGGGUUCAGGUCAGGAGAGUUGGCAGGCCAAUUGAGCACAGUAAUACCAUGGUCAGUAAACCAUUUACCAGUGGUUUUGGCACUGUGAGCAGGUUGCAGGUCGUGCUGAAAAACGAAAUCUUCAUCUCCAUAAAGCUUUUCAGCAGAUGGAAGCAUGAAAGACGCAAGACCCAACACUCUGGAUGAGCUUAAGGCCGCUAUCGAAGCAUCCUGGGCCUCCAUAACACCUCAGCAGUGCCACAGGCUGAUUGCCUCCAUGCCACGCCGCAUUGAAGCAGUCAUUUCUGCAAAAGGAUUCCCGACCAAGUAUUGAGUGCAUAACUGAACAUAAUUAUUUGAAGGUUGACUUUUUUUGUAUUAAAAACACUUUUCUUUUAUUGGUCGGAUGAAAUAUGCAAAUUUUUUGAGAUCUUCAGGAAUCUUUUGCAGGUGUUUAGAGUUAAUUAGUUGAUUCAGAUGAUUAGGUUAAUAGCUCGUUUAGAGAACCUUUUCAUGAUAUGCUAAUUUUUUGAGAUAGGAAUUUUGGGUUUUCAUGAGCUGUAUGCCAAAAUCAUCAGUAUUAAAACAAUAAAAGACCUGAAAUAUUUCAGUUGGUGUGCAAUGAAUCUAAAAUAUAUGAAAGUUUAAUUUUUAUCAUUACAUUAUGGAAAAUAAUGAACUUUUUCACAAUAUGCUAAUUUUUUGAGAAGGACCUGUAUAUAUAUACAGUAUGUGUGUGUGUGUGUGUAUAUAUAUAUAUAUAUAUAUAUUUUUUUUUUUUUUUUUUAAUGCAGUAAUUUAGUGAAUAACCAUGAUAACAUUGUAAAAUAAAAACACAAUUUAACAAGCUUCCUGACCAGUAUGUAAAUUACAUAAUAAGGAGUUUCCUAUCAUCCUAGCAAUCCAAGCUUUAAAUGCCAUUUCCAUAUUUUGAGGUGACGUGCCUGGCAACAGAGUGGAACAGAAUGCAGGGGUUUCAAAAUGUGUUUUUAAUAACUGAACUACUUUUAACUUGGCAUGGCAACUGAAAAAAAUGCCAGGAAACGGGAGGCAACAGUAGAAGAUGUUAGGUAGCACAUGUUUGCAGAAAAACGUUAAAAAAUAGGAUGCAAGAAUGUCUACCUUGAAUGCAAAAUGGAAUGCUUAUGAUUUUUGAAUAGGUGUUUUAUUAAAUUCUAUUUUGGAAACUUGUUUUAUGAUGUUUCAUGGUUUAACAUUGUUAACCUUUUCUGUGUAAAGUUAUAUACAAUUUUAUAUUUCAUCAAACCACUAAACCAACUGGCAAAAGAUUUUCUGUUUUUCUUAAUUGUCCAAUUUUUUUUUAAUUUGUACAAAUUGUAAUUGUAUUUAUAAUUUCUUAGAUCUCUCUUUAUUUCCUUCCCAUGAACACUUAUCUGCACACACAUAUCCAUAAAUACAUGAAUGAGUAGUUUCAGUAGUUUCCAUUGCUUUGUGCGGAGCUGAAGAUAAUUAAAGAUAUUUCU